AUUGAACGCUGGCGGCAUGCCUUACACAUGCAAGUCGAACGGCAGCACGGGUGCUUGCACCUGGUGGCGAGUGGCGAACGGGUGAGUAAUACAUCGGAACGUACCUUAUCGUGGGGGAUAACGCAGCGAAAGCUGUGCUAAUACCGCAUACGCCCUGAGGGGGAAAGAGGGGGAUCGCAAGACCUCGCGCGAUUAGAGCGGCCGAUGCCUGAUUAGCUUGUUGGUGGGGUAAAAGCCCACCAAGGCGACGAUCAGUAGCUGGUCUGAGAGGACGAUCAGCCACACUGGGACUGAGACACGGCCCAGACUCCUACGGGAGGCAGCAGUGGGGAAUUUUGGACAAUGGGGGCAACCCUGAUCCAGCAAUGCCGCGUGAGUGAAGAAGGCCUUCGGGUUGUAAAGCUCUUUCGUCAGGGAAGAAACACCGGCUCUAACACAGUCCGGGAAUGACGGUACCUGAAGAAUAAGCACCGGCUAACUACGUGCCAGCCGCCGCCGUAA
This 501-nucleotide ribosomal RNA is filed under the name uncultured bacterium. RNAcentral's name for it is "partial 16S ribosomal RNA". It matches the Rfam family "Bacterial small subunit ribosomal RNA", at positions 29 to 523 of the family's 1533-position model. The record is from RNAcentral.